RNAcentral lists this ribosomal RNA (383 nucleotides) under uncultured bacterium. RNAcentral's name for it is "bacterial SSU rRNA". It matches the Rfam family "Bacterial small subunit ribosomal RNA", at positions 28 to 407 of the family's 1533-position model. The record is from RNAcentral.
GACGAACGCUGGCGGCGUGCUUAACACAUGCAAGUCGAGCGGUAAGGCCCUUUCGGGGGUACGACGAGCGGCGAACGGGUGAGUAACACGUGGGUGACCUGCCCUCAGCUCUGGGAUAAGCCUGGGAAACCGGGUCUAAUACUGGAUAUGACUCCAUGACGCAUGUUGUGGGGUGGAAAGCCUUGUGCGGCUGAGGAUGGGCCCGCGGCCUAUCAGCUUGUUGGUGGGGUGAGGCCUACCAAGGCGACGACGGGUAGCCGGCCUCGAGAGGGCGACCGGCCGACACUGGGACGUGAGACACGGCCCACGACUCCUACGGGAGGCAGCAGUGGGAAGUCUUGCGCAAUGGGCGAAAGCCUGACGCAGCGACGCCGCCGUGAGGG